Molecule: long non-coding RNA, 382 nt
Filed under: Ananas comosus (pineapple)
Lineage: Eukaryota; Viridiplantae; Streptophyta; Magnoliopsida; Poales; Bromeliaceae
Description: long non-coding RNA (ACOM_LNC028921)
Source: RNAcentral
CUACCUCUUUGAAAAGAAAGAUAUAACUAUACAUAACUGAACUAUGAACCAUUUUGAAUAGGCUACCUAACCUUUCAAAAUUAUAAUUUUAUUAUUUAACAUUUCAAUCUGUUUGCUUUAAGUCAGUUGGAGAUAUUUUGACUCCAAAAUAUAAGCUAAUUACUUACUUUAAUGAAAUUCAUAGCUGUGAGAAUCGUAUGAAACAUACAAACUAAUUAAAUUUGUAAAGACAAACGAGACAUUUAAAUUUUAAAGUCAAAUACCAUCGACUAAUUCAAGUCAAAUAAAUUGAGAGGUUAGAUAGUAAAAUCAAAAUUUGCAAAGAUUACAUCGCCAACUUAAAAUAGUUCAUAGUUUAGACUUUAGAUAAGUUCUAUAUGUU